GCCAUGUUUAUAUGUCUCUCUCCAACAGUAACUCCCUCCAUUGUUUCCAUCCUUGUCAGCUUUUUCUCUCUCUCUCUCUCUCUCUCUCUCUCUCACUCUCACUCAGGUCUUGAGGUCUUCACCAUGGACUUAGAUCUCAGUCGUGUCAUAUGCUGGUUUUGCUCCACGGUUUCUCGCUUAUUGGUUUUCUCCCCAAUCUCUUAUAUUUUGUUUUCUUUUAUCUCAGUUUUGUUUGUUGAUCUGCCUUUUUGUAGCUAAUCGCCAGAAUCUGGAUACGAGAGUUACAAUACCAACUGGGGCUUUCUUCCCUGUGCCGGAAUCCAACUCGAUCGGCCACUCUUUUAAAACCGUUUUAUUCGCCGGAAUCUAAUUGGAGAAAUCCGAGCCCACAUAUCAAAAGUUAUUAAUUUUUUUAGAAAGUAUUGGUCUAUCAGCUGUUCUUUAUUGGGUUCAAAAAAUUAUGAAUAGGGUUUUGUUUUGUUCAAAUAGGUCCUUAUUCGAAAAUUGAAAGUUUUGUCCGAUGGUCGAGUUGGACAUGGUAGAUUCUUCUCGGUGUACCCCUCACGUAUUCACUUUAUGUUCCAACCACUGGUAACCAGCCACGUCAUGUUUUGCUCGUGGCCUUGGGCUAAGUUGUACAUGAGAGCUCGCAAUUUUUUCUUUAUUUCAUGCUUGGGUUUCGCUUUUCUUAAGGAUCUGAGGGUCUUUCUAAGGAAAUGUUGGGAGUUAUAGCUUCUUCUUUCUUCCACAAUAUUCAAUUAAUUAGGCUGUGUGCAUGGAUAAUAGAUUGACAGUCAGUUGUUUGCGGGUGUGGCAUCAUCAAGAUUCACAUGCAAAUGCACGGUGAGUGAUGCAAAAUCUCUCUUCCAAAGUUCUUUGAAAGUGAGAAUCUUGAUGAUGCUGCAUCGGCAAUAAAACGACUAUACAAAAAGGGAUUCCCCACGACAACUCAACGCUGCCGCUUUUGCAGUUGAACCACCAGAUCUGUGAAUAUUCCUUCUGAUCAAAAUUUGCUAGGAUGGAAAUGGCAUCUUUCAGGAACUUCUUUCUGGAGAUGGGGAUAAGACUAUGUCUAUAGCUUGAAAGAGAGAAUCUUUUGAUGAUGCUGCAUGAGCUAGGAUAUAUAUAUAUUCUCCAAAGGAAAGGCAAGGGAACAUUUACUAUUCUCAUGAGUUUUCUGAGAAUGGAUUGGAAAACUUGAGCAGAAGCUGAUGAGAAGAAAGGCCGGUGUCUCUUAAGCAAGACUUAUAGCAGCGGAAUCAAAUUGAUAAUCAAUAUGGGUAUCACGGUUUCUUCUUCUGGUGUUAGCUAAAAUUCGAUGAUUGGUUUUUGCUAUUUUGCUCAGUGACUCACAAGGAUUAUUAGACCAGGAAAAAUCAGUGUACAUUAAUCUUCCACACACACACACACAUAUAUAUAUAUAUAGCAUUGGCAGGGCUCUCUCUCUCUCUCUCUCUUGCAUGUAAAACAUUUUAGGGUUUCGGCUUUCAUAGUGGGUGACAAGUUACUCGUGGUUUUUGAAUUUUACAGUUCUUAAUUAUUAACUCCAGGUAGGAGAUUAUUCAUAUUGUUCUUGUAUUGUUUGGACACUUACCGCUAACUCUAGCAUUGUGUAGAAGCUCAUGAGAAUUGAAUUUACUUAUGCAUGUGAGAAACUUGUGCUUUAUUUGAAAGAACCUCACACUAUCUGGAAGAUGCAAUCUACUUCUUGUGCCACUCAAAGUUCUAUAUAUAUAUAUAUAUAUGAAUUCUUCAUAGUUUAUAAGAAGAAUAUACAAGCCAUUUAAAGGUAAAACUGUCAUUCAGAUGUAUCUGAAUCAAAUUAACAGCACUUUGUUUAAUAUUUCAUGUAUAAAAAUAGUGGAUUUCAAGGAAAAAAUUACUAUUUUAAUUAACAUAUCACUAAUAGGCAGUCCCCAAAUGAACAUUUUUUCUGAUUGUACUAGUGUAAAUCAUGAACAGCGAAAAGGAUAGUGGAUAAGAUUGUAUUAUAUUAUGCAAAAUGUGCACCUUCCUACAUGCACAUGAAUGCUAGUAUAUAUCGAGAAAGUCUACAUGCCCAAAACCAUCAUGCAUGCAUGUACUGUCAUUAACAAAAAUAUUUGAAUCAAAUAAUAAAAAUAAAUAUGAAUAUUCUGUUGAACUUGACUCCUAGCUUGGAAGGAAUAAAUAAUUAACUACAUUAUUUUUUUUAAAAAAAAUAAAAAAUAAAAAGCCCUCAUUAGGUUCAGCA
Molecule: long non-coding RNA, 2233 nt
Organism: Alnus glutinosa
Lineage: Eukaryota; Viridiplantae; Streptophyta; Magnoliopsida; Fagales; Betulaceae
Exons: 4
Source: RefSeq, a predicted model, not a curated record